Molecule: microRNA precursor, 189 nt
Filed under: Oryza brachyantha (malo sina)
Lineage: Eukaryota; Viridiplantae; Streptophyta; Magnoliopsida; Poales; Poaceae
Description: MIR812 microRNA precursor family
Rfam family: MIR812 microRNA precursor family
Source: Rfam by way of RNAcentral
AAUAAGUUUAUUUUUUAGUUUUAAGAUACAGCGUUUGGCUCUUCGUCUUAUUUGAAUUUUUUUGCGAUUAAUAUUUUUAUUGUUAUUAAAUGAUAAAACAUGAAUAAUACUUUACGCGUGACUAAUUUUUUAAAUUUUUUUAAAAAAAUUUAUAAUAAAAUAAAUAGUCAAACGUUCUACACAAAAUUG